UACGUAGGGGGCUAGCGUUGUCCGGAAUCAUUGGGCGUAAAGAGCUCGUAGGCGGUUUGUCGCGUCUGCUGUGAAAACCCGAGGCUCAACCUCGGGCCUGCAGUGGGUACGGGCAGACUAGAGUGCGGUAGGGGAGAUUGGAAUUCCUGGUGUAGCGGUGGAAUGCGCAGAUAACAGGAGGAACACCGAUGGCGAAGGCAGGUCACUGGGCCGCAACUGACGCUGAGGAGCGAAAGCAUGGGGAGCGAACAGG
Molecule: ribosomal RNA, 253 nt
Filed under: uncultured bacterium
Lineage: Bacteria
Description: partial 16S ribosomal RNA
Rfam family: Bacterial small subunit ribosomal RNA
Source: RNAcentral